UACAGAGGUCCCGAGCGUUGCUCGGAAUCACUGGGCUUAAAGGGCGCGUAGGCGGGUGGUCAAGUCAGGGGUGAAAUCUUUCCGCUCAACGGGAAAACAGCUUUUGAUACUGGCCAUCUUGAGGGGGGUAGGGGCAUGUGGAACUUCCGGUGGAGCGGUGAAAUGCGUAGAUAUCGGAAGGAACGCCGGUGGCGAAAGCGACGUGCUGGACCAUUUCUGACGCUGAGGCGCGAAAGCCAGGGGAGCAAACGGG
Molecule: ribosomal RNA, 253 nt
Filed under: uncultured bacterium
Lineage: Bacteria
Description: partial 16S ribosomal RNA
Rfam family: Bacterial small subunit ribosomal RNA
Source: RNAcentral